RNAcentral lists this ribosomal RNA (413 nucleotides) under uncultured soil bacterium. RNAcentral's name for it is "bacterial SSU rRNA". It matches the Rfam family "Bacterial small subunit ribosomal RNA", at positions 26 to 434 of the family's 1533-position model. The record is from RNAcentral.
AGAACGAACGUUGGCGGCGUGGAUGAGGCAUGCAAGUCGAACGUGAAAGCCGCAAGGCGAGUAAAGUGGCGGACGGGCGAGUAACACGUAAUCAAGCUGCCUGCGAGACGGGAUAACCUGGGAAACCGAGGCUAAGACCCGAUGGCCUCCAGAGACCGCAUGGUCAUUGGAGUAAAUGGACGGGAUCCGUUUGGGACCGCUGCUCGCAGAGGUGAUUGCGGCCCAUCAGCUAGUUGUAGGUAACGGCCUACCAGGCUACGACGGUAGCCGGCUUAGAGGGUGUCGGCCGCACUGGGACUGAGACACGGUCCAGACUCCUACGGGAGCAGCAGUGGGAAUUUGCGCAAGUGGACUAACGCCUAGACGCAGACAACGCCGCGUGGAGGAUGAAGGUCUUUGGAUUGUAAACGUCC